This 74-nucleotide transfer RNA is filed under the name compost metagenome. Its description in RNAcentral is "tRNA-Gly". It matches the Rfam family "tRNA". Rfam says of the family: Transfer RNA (tRNA) molecules are approximately 80 nucleotides in length. Their secondary structure includes four short double-helical elements and three loops (D, anti-codon, and T loops). The record is from RNAcentral.
GCGUGCAUGGUAUAAAGGUUGUGCCCUUGGCUUCCACCCAAGAGAUGCGAGUUCGAGUCUUGCUGCCCGCACCA